GGCCUCGUGGUGUAGCAGUUAACACUUUGGACUCUGAAUCUAACCACCCGAGUUGGAGUUUCGGGUAGGCCC
Molecule: transfer RNA, 72 nt
Filed under: Trichobilharzia regenti
Lineage: Eukaryota; Metazoa; Platyhelminthes; Trematoda; Strigeidida; Schistosomatidae
Rfam family: tRNA
About the family: Transfer RNA (tRNA) molecules are approximately 80 nucleotides in length. Their secondary structure includes four short double-helical elements and three loops (D, anti-codon, and T loops). Further hydrogen bonds mediate the characteristic L-shaped molecular structure. tRNAs have two regions of fundamental functional importance: the anti-codon, which is responsible for specific mRNA codon recognition, and the 3' end, to which the tRNAs corresponding amino acid is attached (by aminoacyl-tRNA synthetases). tRNAs cope with the degeneracy of the genetic code in two manners: having more than one tRNA (with a specific anti-codon) for a particular amino acid; and 'wobble' base-pairing, i.e. permitting non-standard base-pairing at the 3rd anti-codon position.
Source: Rfam by way of RNAcentral